UUCCAGACUCCUACGGGAGGCAGCAGUGAGGAAUAUUGGUCAAUGGGCGAGAGCCUGAACCAGCCAAGUCGCGUGAGGGAAGACGGUCCUAUGGAUUGUAAACCCCUUUUGCCGGGGAGCAAAAAGCGGUACGUGUACCGCAUCGAGAGUACCCGGAGAAAAAGCAUCGGCUAACUCCGUGCCAGCAGCCGCGGUAAUACGGAGGAUGCGAGCGUUAUCUGGAUUUAUUGGGUUUAAAGGGUGCGUAGGCGGAAUGCCAAGUCAGCGGUAAAAUCGCGGGGCUCAACCUCGCUCCGCCGUUGAAACUGCAUCCCUUGAGUGCGCGAGAAGUAUGCGGAAUGCGUGGUGUAGCGGUGAAAUGCAUAGAUAUCACGCAGAACUCCGAUUGCGAAGGCAGCAUACCGGCGCCCAACUGACGCUGAAGCACGAAAGCGUGGGUAUCGAACAGGAUUAGAUACCCGAGUA
RNAcentral lists this ribosomal RNA (465 nucleotides) under uncultured bacterium. RNAcentral describes it as "bacterial SSU rRNA". It matches the Rfam family "Bacterial small subunit ribosomal RNA", at positions 329 to 792 of the family's 1533-position model. The record is from RNAcentral.